AGUGAACGCUGGCGGUAGGCCUAACACAUGCAAGUCGAACGGCAGCACAGUAAGAGCUUGCUCUUACGGGUGGCGAGUGGCGGACGGGUGAGGAAUACAUCGGAAUCUACUUUUUCGUGGGGGCUAACGUAGGGACACUUACGCUAAUACCGCAUACGACCUACGGGUGAAAGCAGGGGAUCUUCGGCCCUUGCGCGAUUGAAUGAGCCGAUGUCGGAUUAGCUAGUUGGCGGGGUAAAGGCCCACCAAGGCGACGAUCCGUAGCUGGUCUGAGAGGAUGAUCAGCCACACUGGAACUGAGACACGGUCCAGACUCCUACGGGAGGCAGCAGUGGGGAAUAUUGGACAAUGGGCGCAAGCCUGAUCCAGCCAUACCGCGUGGGUGAAGAAGGCCUUCGGGUUGUAAAGCCCUUUUGUUGGGAAAGAAAAGCAGCAGGUUAAUACCCCGCUGUUCUGACGGUACCCAAAGAAUAAGCACCGGCUAACUUCGUG
RNAcentral lists this ribosomal RNA (492 nucleotides) under uncultured bacterium. RNAcentral's name for it is "partial 16S ribosomal RNA". It matches the Rfam family "Bacterial small subunit ribosomal RNA", at positions 29 to 507 of the family's 1533-position model. The record is from RNAcentral.